Molecule: long non-coding RNA, 791 nt
Organism: Rosa chinensis
Lineage: Eukaryota; Viridiplantae; Streptophyta; Magnoliopsida; Rosales; Rosaceae
Exons: 2
Source: RefSeq, a predicted model, not a curated record
GGACUAUUUUAAAUGAGACUCUAGAGUCCCAAAUUCUCCCUAACACCUUCUUCCAUAGACACCCCAAAAACCAUGGGAUUGUGGAAGCCCGAAGCCCUCAUUCUCUCUACUCUUUGCUUCAGUGAUUGAUGAACUCUCUCAUCGUUCUCACCUCCUCAAACCAUGCCCGAUGAACUCUCUUGAAAGCUUCUACAAAUUUCACCUCCUCAAACCAUGUUCGACGAACUUCCUCGAAUGCUUCUGCAAAUUGAAAGCUGAGAAGAAACCAAACUGAAUGAUUGGGAAUCAGAUAAUUGCAAAGGAUUUCGAUUCUGGUAGUAGAAUUUGUUUGGGAAGAAUUGCAGGCACCUUGGCUUGACUGGAAACCCAUAUCCCCUGACCAAGAACAUGGGCACCUUGGCUUGACUGGAAGAGAAAUUGGGUAUGGCUUUGAUCUGAGAAGUCUGAGAGAAAUGUUGAUGAUGUUGAUGGUGUUGCAGGUUUGUGGUGUUGAUGGAGUCUGGGUCUUCAUGUUUCUUGUAAACUAGAAGUCUGGGUCUUCAUGUUUCUUGUAAACUGUAGUUAUUAGUCCCUCCAACACCAAACAUAAGUCAGGACAUAGUAAACAUAAGCUCAGCUUGAGGAGUCCGAGACAAUUAUAAAAAUUAACGCGGGGUAUGACAAUCCCAGGAAACAAACAUCACCUUAGAUUGUGUGUGCCCACAAUUUGGGAUAGAUUCUUGGUUAUUUACUCGAAGUCAUGCAUGUAAUAUCUUUUUUUGUCAAUGUAUUCUACGGUACCCUUGUUUUUA